Molecule: long non-coding RNA, 338 nt
Filed under: Mytilus galloprovincialis (Mediterranean mussel)
Lineage: Eukaryota; Metazoa; Mollusca; Bivalvia; Mytilida; Mytilidae
Source: RNAcentral
GGUUGGUCUAAAACCAUUUUGAAAAAGAAAAAUCAUUUCCAUUUUAAUUUUAUUUAUAAACUGAAAUAUGAUAUCCUUUGGUGUUAGUAGUAUAGUUAAAAUAAUUCGAAAAUUAUCUAAUUACAAGUACACAAAAACUUCUUGAAAGGGAAACAAAGCUAUUUGGUGUUGUGAAAGGACGGCCUUUUGAAUAUACUUUCUGUGUAUUUAGUAGAUGUGUCGAAAGUACUAGAAACUACAUAGGAUAAACCUUUGGAUGCUCAUGGCCUGUUGCCAAAUAUUUAAACUUAAACACAACAUUAGUCUCUUAUAUGUGCAAAAUCACUUCAAAACGGGGG